This is a long non-coding RNA of Spinacia oleracea (spinach), 673 nucleotides long. RefSeq lists it as uncharacterized. NCBI's taxonomy places the organism in Eukaryota, Viridiplantae, Streptophyta, Magnoliopsida, Caryophyllales, Amaranthaceae. The record is from RefSeq and is a predicted model, not a curated record. The transcript is spliced from 3 exons.
UGGUUCGUGGCUCGCUGGUUCCGGCUGCCGAGUUUCGGCUGGUGUUGUUCGGUUCUGGCGACCGAGUUCCGGCAAUUUUAAAGAUCAAAGCAGCAGCGACCAUUUUCUUUUUGAACUGAAAAUCUCUAGGCUCUAGCUGUGUGCAUACCGGACUUCAUUUUGGACCAAUCCAACUUCUCUCAUGCCAAUGGAAUUCUUCUGUCACUGCUGUUGACAAAGGAACUGAAAGAAACAGGACAUUAUCAUAACUGGUGCUAACACGUUGUCUAAGGAUGAGGUGGAAAACAUGGUUCAAGAGGUUUGCAAAGGGGGAUAAAGAGAAGAGACAAGCAAUUGACAUCAAGAACCAAGCUAAUUCUGUAGUAUACCAAAUUGAGAAACAGCUGAAGGAGUUAGGAGGAAAUCCCAGCUGCAGUGAAGGAGAAAGUUGAAGCCAAGCCAAAAGACCUUAAGGAUGCUAUGGAUGGAGAAAGUUGAAGACAAGCCAAAAGACCUCAAGGAUGCUAUGGAAGGUGGCAUUACUCACAAGAUUAAGGAUGCCAUAGCUGCAGUAAACCAGUAAGUAAUGCAGAUAAGGCAAAUAUUUGAAAGAAAAGAAACAUUAAGUAUUUCUGUAAAAAUCUUGCUAAGAAAACGAGCACUUUUAAGUAUCAAGUAUUAAUUUGUGCAUGUA